Molecule: small RNA, 581 nt
Filed under: Pan troglodytes (chimpanzee)
Lineage: Eukaryota; Metazoa; Chordata; Mammalia; Primates; Hominidae
Description: retained intron
Source: RNAcentral
ACGGACAUGGCUGCGGCCCCCGGAGGAGGGGACGUGAAGUGAGGAGGGGGUUGGGAGGGGAGAGGACGCGGGCGAGGAAGACCAGCCCCGGGGCCCCGAUGUUGUGACUGUGACAGACUCACUGGGGUUUGUACAUGCUGGGGAGGAGCCUUCCUUUCAGGGGCGACCACAUUCAUCUGGGCAUGCCUGCAGUACUCUUGGCCCAUGGACCUGAAGGAGAAGCACCUGGGCGAGCCUCCCUCAGCCCUGGGCCUGUCCACGCGGAAGGCCCUCAGCGUCCUGAAGGAGCAGCUGGAGGCAGUGCUGGAAGGACAUCUCAGGGAGCGGAAGAAGUGUCUGACGUGGAAGGUGAAGCUUCUUCUCGGGGCUACCAGGGCCUGGCUGGGAUGGCAGGGAAGUGUGGGAGGCCCCUUCUCAGGACUCUGAUGUACCCUGUCACCCUGGACAGUGUGACCCAACUGAGGCCUCAUGAAAUAUCAGAAAGAAGCCAAGGUUCCCCUCAGAGUGGCUCCUGAGCCUGCUUGCUGCAGGAGCCCAACAGGCUGGAGCCCAGCCGAGGUCAAAGAGAGGGGACCAAGGCG